GCUGGUGUAGCUCAGCUGGUAGAGCAACUGACUUGUAAUCAGUAGGUCGCAAGUUCGAUUCUUGUCACCAGCU
RNAcentral lists this transfer RNA (73 nucleotides) under Oscillatoriales cyanobacterium SpSt-418. RNAcentral's name for it is "tRNA-Thr". It matches the Rfam family "tRNA". Rfam says of the family: Transfer RNA (tRNA) molecules are approximately 80 nucleotides in length. Their secondary structure includes four short double-helical elements and three loops (D, anti-codon, and T loops). Lineage: Bacteria; Bacillati; Cyanobacteriota; Cyanophyceae; Oscillatoriales. RNAcentral also lists the same sequence under 1 other name. The record is from RNAcentral.